RNAcentral lists this ribosomal RNA (439 nucleotides) under uncultured bacterium. RNAcentral describes it as "partial 16S ribosomal RNA". It matches the Rfam family "Bacterial small subunit ribosomal RNA", at positions 339 to 795 of the family's 1533-position model. The record is from RNAcentral.
CUACGGGGCGCUGCAGUGAGGAAUAUUGCACAAUGGGGGGAACCCUGAUGCAGCAACGCCGCGUGGAGGAUGACGCAUUUCGGUGUGUAAACUCCUUUUAUAUGUCAAGAAAAUGACGGUAGCAUAUGAAUAAGCACCGGCUAACUCCGUGCCAGCAGCCGCGGUAAUACGGAGGGUGCAAGCGUUACUCGGAAUCACCGGGCGUAAAGGACACGUAGGCGGGUUGGAAAGUCAGGUGUGAAAUCCUACAGCUUAACUGUAGAACUGCACUUGAAACUUCUAAUCUAGAGUAUGGGAGGGGGAGAUGGAAUUAGUGGUGUAGGGGUAAAAUCCGUAGAUAUCACUAGGAAUACCUAAAGCGAAGGCGAUCUCCUGGAACAUUACUGACGCUAAGGCGUGAAAGCGUGGGGAGCAAACAGGAUUAGAUACCCCCGUAGUC